This 389-nucleotide ribosomal RNA is filed under the name uncultured bacterium. Its description in RNAcentral is "bacterial SSU rRNA". It matches the Rfam family "Bacterial small subunit ribosomal RNA", at positions 28 to 417 of the family's 1533-position model. The record is from RNAcentral.
GACGAACGCUGGCGGCGUGCUUAACACAUGCAAGUCGAGCGGUAAGGCCCUUUCGGGGGUACGACGAGCGGCGAACGGGUGAGUAACACGUGGGUGACCUGCCCUCAGCUCUGGGAUAAGCCCGGGAAACUGGGUCUAAUACUGGAUAUGACUCCACGGUGCAUGCCGUGGGGUGGAAAGCCUUGUGCGGCUGAGGAUGGGCCCGCGGCCUAUCAGCUUGUUGGUGGGGUGAUGGCCUACCAAGGCGACGACGGGUAGCCGGCCUGAGAGGGCGACCGGCCACACUGGGACUGAGACACGGCCCAGACUCCUACGGGAGGCAGCAGUGGGGGAUCUUGCGCAAUGGGCGAAAGCCUGACGCAGCGACGCCGCGUGAGGGAUGACGGCCU